UUACGGCCAUAUCACUUUGAAACACCGAUGCUCGUACAAUGAUAGUAGUUAAGGAACGCCAAGCAUGGUCAGUACUUAGAUGGGUGACCACUUGGGAACACCAGGUGCUGUAAG
Non-coding RNA from Acanthosepion pharaonis, 114 nucleotides. NCBI's taxonomy places the organism in Eukaryota, Metazoa, Mollusca, Cephalopoda, Sepiida, Sepiidae. The record is from the annotation of a GenBank genome assembly.